AUGGCGAAGCAUGCCACACUUGUUCUAAUUAAUUCUGAGAUCAGACAACUGGUUGAAGACAUGGCUACUGGCAUGGUGUUACAGUAUCUAUUUGAAAAUACCAUUGUGAUUAAUUCUACAGAUACUGAUAAUGCAGCCAUGGGGAGGUGUGCUACUUCUGUUCUAAUGAGUAAUAACUUAAAAGACUGUUCCUUUGAGCAUUGA
Non-coding RNA from Vicia faba (fava bean), 204 nucleotides. The record is from the annotation of a GenBank genome assembly. Lineage: Eukaryota; Viridiplantae; Streptophyta; Magnoliopsida; Fabales; Fabaceae.